GUGCCAGCCGCCGCGGUAAUACGGAGGAUGCAAGCGUUAUCCGGAUUUAUUGGGUUUAAAGGGUGCGCAGGUUGUUUGAUAAGUCAGUGGUGAAAGUCUGUCGCUUAACGGUAGGAUUGCCAUUGAUACUGUUGGACUUGAAUAUGGAUGAGGUAGGCGGAAUGUGUAGUGUAGCGGUGAAAUGCAUAGAUAUUACACAGAACACCGAUUGCGAAGGCAGCUUACUAAUCCAUCAUUGACGCUGAGGCACGAAAGCGUGGGGAUCAAACAGGAUUAGAUACCCUGGUAGUCCACGCCGUAAACGAUGAUCACUCGCUGUUUGCGAUAUACAGUAAGCGGCUAAGCGAAAGCGUUAAGUGAUCCACCUGGGGAGUACGAUCGCAAGGUUGAAACUCAAAGAAAUUGACGG
RNAcentral lists this ribosomal RNA (409 nucleotides) under uncultured bacterium. Its description in RNAcentral is "bacterial SSU rRNA". It matches the Rfam family "Bacterial small subunit ribosomal RNA", at positions 505 to 916 of the family's 1533-position model. The record is from RNAcentral.